GAUGAACGCUGGCGGCGUGCCUAAUACAUGCAAGUCGAGCGAACAGACGAGGAGCUUGCUCCUUUGACGUUAGCGGCGGACGGGUGAGUAACACGUGGAUAACCUACCUAUAAGACUGGGAUAACUUCGGGAAACCGGAGCUAAUACCGGAUAACAUGUUGAACCGCAUGGUUCAACAGUGAAAGACGGUCUUGCUGUCACUUAUAGAUGGAUCCGCGCCGCAUUAGCUAGUUGGUAAGGUAACGGCUUACCAAGGCAACGAUGUGUAGCCGACCUGAGGGGGUGAUCGGCCACACUGGAACUGAGACACGGUCCAGACUCCUACGGGAGGCAGCAGUAGGGAAUCUUCCGCAAUGGGCGAAAGCCUGACGGAGCAACGCCGCGUGAGUGAAGAAGGUCUUCGGAUCGUAAAACUCUGUUAUUAGGGAAGAACAAAUGUGUAAGUAACUAUGCACGUCUUGACGGUACCUAAUCAGAAAGCCACGGCUAACUACGUG
RNAcentral lists this ribosomal RNA (497 nucleotides) under uncultured bacterium. Its description in RNAcentral is "partial 16S ribosomal RNA". It matches the Rfam family "Bacterial small subunit ribosomal RNA", at positions 28 to 507 of the family's 1533-position model. The record is from RNAcentral.